Molecule: transfer RNA, 55 nt
Filed under: Ovis aries (sheep)
Lineage: Eukaryota; Metazoa; Chordata; Mammalia; Artiodactyla; Bovidae
Rfam family: tRNA
About the family: Transfer RNA (tRNA) molecules are approximately 80 nucleotides in length. Their secondary structure includes four short double-helical elements and three loops (D, anti-codon, and T loops). Further hydrogen bonds mediate the characteristic L-shaped molecular structure. tRNAs have two regions of fundamental functional importance: the anti-codon, which is responsible for specific mRNA codon recognition, and the 3' end, to which the tRNAs corresponding amino acid is attached (by aminoacyl-tRNA synthetases). tRNAs cope with the degeneracy of the genetic code in two manners: having more than one tRNA (with a specific anti-codon) for a particular amino acid; and 'wobble' base-pairing, i.e. permitting non-standard base-pairing at the 3rd anti-codon position.
Source: Rfam by way of RNAcentral
UCUUAACUGGUAAAGAAUCUGCCUGCAGUGCAGGAGGCCCCGGUUCAAUUCCUGG